Molecule: small RNA, 218 nt
Filed under: Microlunatus parietis
Lineage: Bacteria; Bacillati; Actinomycetota; Actinomycetes; Propionibacteriales; Propionibacteriaceae
Description: Actinobacteria sRNA Ms_IGR-5
Rfam family: Actinobacteria sRNA Ms_IGR-5
Source: Rfam by way of RNAcentral
ACACGUGAAAGGAGGUGGUCCGAAGAAUGAAUUCUUUUGGGACUCGUGAGGUGGCGGCCAGCUAGUCGCUGACCCGGUCCUUCUGGACUGUCGGUCGACGACCGGCUAAUCCAAAGGCCGACACCCGGACCCGCGAGCGCCAGGGCUUGUCCUCCUGGCCGUCGAUCAGCCGACGCACUGAGAUCGGUCGACGACGCCCGCUCGCGGGUUCGCCCUUU